UGGGGAAUCUUGGACAAUGGGGGAAACCCUGAUCCAGCGACGCCGCGUGGGUGAUGAAGGCCUUCGGGUCGUAAAGCCCUGUCGGGGGGGAAGAAACUCUUGCCGGUAAAUAAUCGGCGAGAUUGACGGUACCCCCUAAGGAAGCACCGGCUAACUCCGUGCCAGCAGCCGCGGUAAGACGGAGGGUGCAAGCGUUGUUCGGAAUUACUGGGCGUAAAGGGCGCGUAGGCGGUCCGCUAAGUUCGGCGUGAAAUCCCCUGGCUCAACUGGGGAACUGCGCUGGAUACUGGUGGACUAGAGUACCGGAGAGGAGAGUGGAAUUCCUGGUGUAGCGGUGAAAUGCGUAGAUAUCAGGAGGAACACCGGUGGCGAAGGCGGCUCUCUGGACGGAUACUGACGCUGAGGCGCGAAAGCGUGGGGAUCAAACAG
This 429-nucleotide ribosomal RNA is filed under the name uncultured bacterium. Its description in RNAcentral is "bacterial SSU rRNA". It matches the Rfam family "Bacterial small subunit ribosomal RNA", at positions 355 to 775 of the family's 1533-position model. The record is from RNAcentral.